GACGAACGCUGGCGGCGUGCUUAACACAUGCAAGUCGAGCGGUAAGGCCCUUUCGGGGGUACGACGAGCGGCGAACGGGUGAGUAACACGUGGGUGACCUGCCCUCAGCUCUGGGAUAAGCCUGGGAAACCGGGUCUAAUACUGGAUAUGACUCCAUGACGCAUGUUGUGGGGUGGAAAGCCUUGUGCGGCUGAGGAUGGGCCCGCGGCCUAUCAGCUUGUUGGUGGGGUGAGGCCUACCAAGGCGACGACGGGUAGCCGGCCUGAGAGGGCGACCGGCCACACUGGGACUGAGACACGGCCCAGACUCCUACGGGAGGCAGCAGUGGGGAAUCUUGCGCAAUGGGCGAAAGCCUGACGCAGCGACGCCGCGUGAGGGAUGACGGCCCUCGGGUUGUAAACCUCUUUCAGCUCCGACGAAGCGAGAGUGACGGUAGGAGCAGAAGAAGCACCAGCCAACUACGUGCC
Molecule: ribosomal RNA, 467 nt
Filed under: uncultured bacterium
Lineage: Bacteria
Description: bacterial SSU rRNA
Rfam family: Bacterial small subunit ribosomal RNA
Source: RNAcentral